Molecule: transfer RNA, 109 nt
Filed under: Aspergillus cristatus
Lineage: Eukaryota; Fungi; Ascomycota; Eurotiomycetes; Eurotiales; Aspergillaceae
Rfam family: tRNA
About the family: Transfer RNA (tRNA) molecules are approximately 80 nucleotides in length. Their secondary structure includes four short double-helical elements and three loops (D, anti-codon, and T loops).
Source: Rfam by way of RNAcentral
GACACUUUGGCCGAGUGGUUAAGGCGUGUGACUUGAAUAUGAAUACGAAAUGUAUUCGAGUCGAUAUCACAUACGUUCGCGUUCGCAGGUUCGAAUCCUGCAGGUGUCG